GUACACUGAGGAGUCCCAUACUAGGACGAAACGGCCGUCUAGUAC
Molecule: non-coding RNA, 45 nt
Filed under: Schistosoma mansoni
Lineage: Eukaryota; Metazoa; Platyhelminthes; Trematoda; Strigeidida; Schistosomatidae
Source: RNAcentral